UACGUAGGGCGCAAGCGUUGUCCGGAAUUAUUGGGCGUAAAGAGCUCGUAGGCGGCCUGUUGCGUCCGCUGUGAAAUCCCGGGGCUCAACCCCGGGCCUGCAGUGGAUACGGGCUGGCUAGAGGCAGGCAGGGGAGAACGGAAUUCCUGGUGUAGCGGUGAAAUGCGCAGAUAUCAGGAGGAACACCGGUGGCGAAGGCGGUUCUCUGGGCCUGUACUGACGCUGGAGGCGCGAAAGCUAGGGGAGCAAACAGG
RNAcentral lists this ribosomal RNA (254 nucleotides) under uncultured bacterium. Its description in RNAcentral is "partial 16S ribosomal RNA". It matches the Rfam family "Bacterial small subunit ribosomal RNA", at positions 524 to 776 of the family's 1533-position model. The record is from RNAcentral.